UUGCUUUGGCAGCAUAUAUUUCAAAAUUGGAACAAUACAAAGAAGAUUAACAUGGCCUCUGUGAAAGGAUGAUAUACAAAUUCGUGAAACCCUCCAUAUUUUU
Small nuclear RNA from Phodopus roborovskii (desert hamster), 103 nucleotides. The record is from RefSeq and is a predicted model, not a curated record. NCBI's taxonomy places the organism in Eukaryota, Metazoa, Chordata, Mammalia, Rodentia, Cricetidae.